This is a non-coding RNA of Microcebus murinus (gray mouse lemur), 5008 nucleotides long. The record is from RefSeq and is a predicted model, not a curated record. Lineage: Eukaryota; Metazoa; Chordata; Mammalia; Primates; Cheirogaleidae.
GGCGAGCAUGACGACUUUUUAAUAGAGACCGACGUGGCCUUGCAAGAAGAGCAAGAUCACGUCUUCAGGUGUUUGGACUCAGCUGAGGUAUAACAUCAGAGAAGAGUGUGGGCUCUGCACCCUAGAACCAGGAGCUGAUAGAGAAGAAUGAUGUAUAAUGUGAAGUAUCCUAGACAGGUUACUGGAAUAAGAGUGAAGAGAUCCCCGUCAUGGGGACACUUUAGGUAAGUCACUAACCAGAGAGCAAAGCAUAUGCUCAAGUAUUUGUAUAGACAGUAUUGUCUAUACAAAAGAAUAAUACCCAAUCCUCCCAACCACUAGAAUACUUUGGAUUUUAAAUGUGAUCCCAUGUGUGAAAGCAAUCUGUGGUUUUAGGUGGAAGGGAAGGACCAGUGCACUUUAGAGUAAUUACAUCAACAAAGACAUUUCAGAUAUCCCAGAACCCUGCGUGGAGGCAUUAAGUUAGUAGUAAUCAAAUGCAAGCAGUUUAGGUCAGGCUUUUUCCAAGUAUGGUCUACGGACCACUUCAUCAAAAUUGUCAGCCAGUGCUUGCUAAAAUUGCAAAUUCCUGGACUCACCCUAGGUCUGCCAAAUCAAAGCCAGGUAGAUGGGGUAGGAGGUAUCUACAUUUUGAAUAAUUUCUCCAAUUGUUUCUGGUACUCAUCCAAGUUUGAGAAGCACUGCUGAGGAUUUGCAAAGAGGUUUUCUAAAAAUUUUGAAUCCUUUGAUGUUAAUUUCAUUGUCAGUUGCUCCUGCUAUGGAACUUUUAAUAUCUGUGUCUUCUCUGGUUUGUCAAAUAGUUUUAAAAAAAAUUCCUUCAAUUAAGUAACAUUUAUUCGGUGAUUCUUAUGUGAAGCUCUGAACUAGGUACUGGGAAAAUGACACAGAAAACAAGAUAGGCAGGGUCCCUGGAGCUAUCACUCUAGCUUGGGAAAACUGGCAAUAAGCAGGUAAACGAAUCAAUAACCCACACAAUUUCAUAAGGGGAUUUGUGCUUUAAAGAAAAUAAACAUGUAAAUAGAGUAGAAAAUGACCAGAAGAGAGAUUAUCAUAGAUGGCUUCAUGAAGUUCUUUCUCAGGAAGUAAUAUUUAAGCCGAGUUCUGGAUGACAAGAAGAUGCCAGACAUGGACAGGCCAUUUUGUCAGUGUCCCUGUGCUGUGAGUGGGCACCAGUUGAUCCAGCAGCAGAGAAAAAGCUGUAGUGACUGGACCCUGGCAGACAAUGUGCCGACAGGUGAGAGAUGAGGUCCAAAUAGCAAACAGGAGCCACAUGGUUUGGGCCAUGUAAGGAGUUUGGAUUUUAUAUUGAGUGUGGAGGGUUAGAAUAUGGGAAUGGUAUGAUCUGAUUCUUGUUGUCAGAGGUGACUGUGGCUUCUGUGUGGAGAAUGGACUGGAGAAGGACAAGAUAGCAUGUGAUGAUAGCCAUUAGGAGAAUAUUGCAGAAGUCCAGGGGAGGGUGGAUGGUGUUGGAGCUACAGCCAUGUGUGGAGGGUGGAGCAGGACAGGGACGUGCUUGGAGGUAGCGCAGGUGGGACCUGCAGUGGCUGUGCGUGUGGGGUGUGCAAGGACAAGGAAGAGUCAAGGGUGACUCCUUGGCUUUUUGUCAGCCAUGUGGAGAAAUAUUUUUCUGAGAUCAAUUGUUUCCAGUGCUUUUGAGACAUUCUCUGAAUAGUUAGGUCAUCCAACAGUGGUUAUAGUGAAAGUUAGUGAUCUUUAAAAAUGCAUCAGUUGAUGAAUAGAAUUCAAUUGUAAGUGGAAAUGGGGGAAGGGCACACUUGUAGCCCUGACUUGGGUAAGGCAAAUGCAUUACAUGUAACCAAAAUGUUUGUACCCUCAUAAUAUCCUCAAUUUAAAAAAAAGAAAAAUCAUUCUUUUGUAGAAAUACAAUGUUCUAGAAAGAAUCUUUAAGGAAAUUUAAGAAAAUGAUGCAUUUACCACUUUUAAAAGAAAUAAAACCACAGUUUUUAAUACCUAAAAAAGAAUUCAAUUGCAAGAGCAUUAAACUUUAUAUAAAGAUAGAUGCAAACUAUAAAACUAUCAAAACUGUAAACAUUUCAACUUGUAAGUAUUUGAAAAAAACACCUGGCAUUUAUAGGCUCUUACUGUGUGCCUAGCACUGUUCUAAGGAUUUUCAUGCAUGAAUUCAAGUAAUUUCAAAAGAACAACUCAUGAGACAGGAAAAAUUGUUUUCUUCAUUUUAAAGAAGAGGAAAUAAGGCAGAAAGAGGCUCUUUCACUCUUCCAAGACCACAGUCAGAUAUCUCAAUGUCUCUGCAGUAGAAUUUUUAAUAUAAUGUGAUUCCUGACCAUUCAUUUAUCCUGAAUAUUAACACAAAGUGAUAUUUUUAAACUUACUUUUCUUCUGUGGUAAGUACUGUAUAAUUCUGAUUUUACAAAUGAGGCAUUUGAGUGACUGUAAGGUGAUGUAAAAGUGUUGAAAAUCACACAGUUUUUAAGAACUAAGGGCUUUUCCCUAGCCUGUCUCCAGAACCCCCACUUAUAACCAGUAAAAUUAGGAAGAAGAAAAAGACUUUUGUUGAACUAUGUCAGCCCAUAGUGGCUUGAUAUUAGGUGGGGCCAUAUCUCACUCUGUGAAAACUAUGCUUCAGUAGCCAUUCUGCCAUGUAUCAGAAAAUAUUUAUUUAAGAAAAAAAAAAGGUAGUAAUUAUAAAAACAAAAGGCAUCGUGUGUAUAUUUCACAAUAUCUUUAUCUUCUAUGGAAAUAUGGGUAUUUUCCAGUUUUUCAUUUAUUAUGAAUACUGAUGGUAUGAACAAUCUUGUACAUACCUUUUAAAUGAACAUUUAUUUUCAUUUCUUGAACAUGUACCCAAGAGUGUCAUUUUUGAGUGAUAGGGUAUAUUUCAGCUCAGUUGAUAUUGCCAUGAAGUUUUCCAAAGUGGUUGUGCCAAUCCAUAUUCCCACCAGCAGUGUGUGAGAGUUCCACUUGCUCCAUCCACAUCCUUGCCAACACUGGGAAUUUUUCUUCUUUGCCAUGUUGGUGUUCUAGUGGUUGUGUGGUGAUAUGUCAUUUGGUUUUACUUUUAAUUUUUCUGAAAUGUGAAGUUUGUUUUAUCUAAAGAAGACCCCUCUUUUUCUAGGCUUUCAAUUUAUUUGUUUAAGAAACUGGAUGUUUUGUCCUAUGUAGUUUGCAUUCUGGAUGUUGCUGACUGUAUCCUUAUUGUAUUCCUCUGCCCCUAUUAUUUCUUUUAAAUUGGUAAGUAGCUUUAGAGGCUUAAUUAGAUUUUGGUUUUUUGGCAUAUGUAUCUCAGAUGUGGUAGUGUUUGUUUCUAUAGUGUUAUACCAGGAGGCUCAUGGGAUCUGCUUGUCUCUCCUGUGAUGUUGAGAUUGAUUACUGCAUUCAAGUGCUGUCAGCCUGAUCCAUGCAUUAUAAAAUUUGCCAUCUGCUUUUCAUCUUGUGUUUUUUUGCAGCCUCUAAAGAUCACUGCCUGGAUUUGUAUUUCAUUAAAGGUUGCAGAGGGUGAUGUUCUAAUUCUAUAAUUUCUUCUACAGUUUUAAGCUGAAAUUCUUUUACAAAAGAAACUUCCUUUCAUCAACUAUUAGGUUAUUCUGCAGUGUGGUACACAUAAGAAGGAUAGGAUGAAUGUUUAAUUCUUUUGCCCUAUUUCAACUUUUUCAGAACAAUGAAUUGUUUUCCUAGAGUCUCCAAAAGUGAGCAGUGAGUUGAUUUUGUUUGCUUUUUAGGAUGUCACCUUGAGUUCACUGAUGCUUAUAUUUUUGUGUAUUUUAAUCCAUUUCAGUCAUUGGUAUUUUUUAUUUUCAAAUUGUUUCAUCUUUGGCCUCUGGGAUCCACUUCAGGUUGGCUCUGAGUCUUUUUGACAUGCACUCUUGUAUAAUACUUUGGUUCAGACUUAUCUGGUACAAUCCUAAUCUCAGAGCUGGAAUUAGCCAUUUCUCCAAGGGAGGCUGUUUUUUUUUUAGUGGUAAAUGUUUGUAGAGGAUCCAGUCUGGGAUCUAGAGUUGCUCAUUGCUACUGGGUUGGUCUUUGUGUCUUGCUCUUUUCAGUACAUGGAACCAGUAAAUAUGUAUUAUAUUUUUAAGAGAAGGUACAUCAUUGGCUUCCAUCCUGGGCUGCUUCUCCAUCCCAUUACAGGUAUUAUAAAAAGUGGCACAUUCUACACAAAUGCUGUCCAAUAAAAAUUUAUGCAAAAAUAAAAAUGUUCUGUCUCUGUACUAUCCAACAUGGUAGCCACUAGCCACAAAUGGCUGUUGAGCACCUAAAAUAUGGCUAGUGUGACUGACUAACUAAAUUUUAAAUUUUAUUUAGAUUAAAUUAAAUUUAAUUUAAAUAGCCACUUAUGUCUAGUGUACCUACUAUAUUGGACAGCCACAGCUAACACUUUUUCUCUGAAUAUCAUUUUUCGCUUAACAACGUAUCCUAGAGAUCACUCAUAGCAGUAAAGAGAUGGAGUCCUCAUUGCUUUUAUAGCUGCAUAGUACUCUAGGAUGUAGAAGUACCUUAGAUUACUCAGCCAACAUUUGUCUUAUUUCUAGUUUUGUGUUAUUGAACACAAACAAAACAGAUUGUUCUGCCAGGACUAGCCUGUGCUUAAGCUUUUUUGUAUUUUUGAAUUGUUUCUUUGGGAUAAAUUCUUAAAAGAGAGAUCACUGAUUCCAAGAGUAAAUACCUAUCUAAUUUUGCUAGAUAGUAUAAUAUCAAGUCCUCUCUAUAGGAGAGUAUCAUUUUGCAUGAACACCAUCAAUAAAUGGGAAUGCCUAUUUUCUCACAGACUAUGUAAUUGGUGAGAAGAGAUAUUUCAUUAUAGUUAUUUUUCCUGACAGCACUUACCAUACGUUAGGUUGAGCAUUUUUCUUGUGUUUAAGGAUGAUUUUUUGGUAAAAUAUUUCCUUGUAUUUAUUGCCCCUUUUUAUCUCAGGUUGUUGGGUUUUGCAUUCACUUUUUCAUAAGAUUUCUACAUAUUAGGGAUAUAACCCUUUGUUUUUUAUCUAAGUUGUAAAUAUUUUUUCUAAUUUUUAAUUUUAAUUUGCUU